RNAcentral lists this ribosomal RNA (440 nucleotides) under uncultured bacterium. RNAcentral describes it as "partial 16S ribosomal RNA". It matches the Rfam family "Bacterial small subunit ribosomal RNA", at positions 338 to 795 of the family's 1533-position model. The record is from RNAcentral.
CCUACGGGAGGCAGCAGUGGGGAAUAUUGCACAAUGGGGGAAACCCUGAUGCAGCGACGCCGCGUGAGUGAAGAAGUAUUUCGGUAUGUAAAGCUCUAUCAGCAGGGAAGAAAAUGACGGUACCUGAUUCAGAAGCCCCGGCUAACUACGUGCCAGCAGCCGCGGUAAUACGUAGGGGGCAAGCGGUAUCCGGAUUUACUGGGUGUAAAGGGAGCGUAGACGGCAGCGCAAGUCUGAAGUGAAAUGCCGGGGCUUAACCCCGGAACUGCUUUGGAAACUGUGCAGCUAGAGUGCAGGAGAGGUAAGUGGAAUUCCUAGUGUAGCGGUGAAAUGCGUAGAUAGUAGGAGGAACACCAGUGGCGAAGGCGGCUUACUGGACUGUAACUGACGUUGAGGCUCGAAAGCGUGGGGAGCAAACAGGAUUAGAUACCCUAGUAGUC